CUGGGUGUGGAUAGUGUGUUUUCUGUACCAACAUGCUCUGCUGGCAUUCUACCACAGCACUCCUUACCCCUGCGGCUUCAACUGCCUUUUAUGUCUGUCAGUUGGUGCCUCCUCCCAAAUGUGGCUUUCAGUAUCUGGAUGAAAUCUGUUCACAAGGACUUAAGGUGGUCUACGGAAUAGAAAGAGAGGGAGCUACACAAAGUCUGUGACAGCAAAACAGGAAGAUUUCUAUCAUCAAAAUUAUACAUUUUGUUUCUUGAUUUGUCACUUUGAAAGUUGGUUUCUUUUUCAGUACUUGGCUGUAACUAUUCAACAUUUUUUCUGGAAGUACUGUCUAACAAAGGAAUUAAGGAAACUGAAGUUCACAAGAAAAACUGUUGCCCCUAAACAGGAAUGGAAUGAAUAAAGCUGCAUUUCAAAAGGAUUAUAAGGCUGCCUUCCUCCUGCUAGGCUGAUCAAGUGACGGAAAGGGAAACUGCCAGAUCCCUAGGAUCUAAAGUGUGGGUGGAAAGUCUAGCAGUCUUCAUAAACCAAGCAAAAGAGAAUCUUGAUAGGAGUUACAUUAUAGGGGAACCUCUGUCUUUCCCCCUCACCCUGAUGGUACCUUUGCUCACAAGCCCUUUCUUUACCUGUUGAAAAUAUAUGCAAGACAUUCCAUGAAGUACUGCGGAGCUGGUUACAGAGAGAAAGAGAGAGAGGCUUUGAGCUCGUCUGCAGACAGUGCUGACAGACACUUUGAAACUACAGAAGCAAAGCAAGUAUCCAGAUGAUGGCUGUGCGUCAUGUCAGUCAAGCGGAUUAGAAAAUGGAGGCUGCCAGGCAGAGGGCCACCCGUGUUCCCAAUGCUCCAGAGCGCACCAGCACAACAGUGACAUGAAAAUUAAUGAGCGAAGCCUUAAAAUGUCACAGUGCAGAGAUCUGAAGCUGAAUUGUAAACCCACACGGACAAGAGGAGUCAGAAGACGGUUUCAGAACAGCUCAGAAGAAGGCAUUUAUGAGAUCUCAAACGACUCUUACAUCACAGACUGUUCCACAGAAAAUAAAACUGGGGAGGACUUUAAGGCCUGCACAAAACCCCAGAACAGAACUGUGAGUUCUAGUACAGAUCGUAACUGCUUUAUAAAAAACCGAAAGCCAAAGCGUGUUCACAGGCCGCACAUACAUCCUCCUGCAGCACUAACGGAGAGACAGCGUGCUCUGUUGGAAAAGACUCUGACUUGCAAGUUAGGUUCUGUGUCUAAUAGCUCACGGCAACAUUUAAGUGAUGUUUAUGAAACUAGUUCAGUUCCUUGCCUAGACUCUGUAGCAAUGUGCCACACAGUCAACAAACCAGUCAGCAUAAAGAAAGAAGAGAAAGAUUUGUCACUUAAGUUCACCUCUGGCUAUGCCAAGAAUGCUAGGACUUCUGUGAGUAUUACAAAAAUAAAAGAUGACAGGGCUGCUAAAGUUUUCUCCAGUGCAACCCUAAUUUCUGAAAAUUGCAAUAUUAAUAACAUUGUAGCAGUCCUAAAAUGCAAAUGUGGAAAUGGACAAGUUAAUAUGUAUCCUGUGGUGCAGUUAAUAGACAUCAUGAAAGAUUUUAGCCACUUAUCUGACUUGAAAAACAGUGGUGUCCACAUAGACUGUGAUGGGCUAAAACUGGAUCAGAUCCCCACUGAAAACAGCAAAUUUAAAACUGCAGAGGCAGAAGACAGAGGUCUACAAUACAGUUUCUUUUCUUCUGCGACUCUUGCCAACAGUAUCCGAAUCCCUAAGGCAUGUCCACAGAAAAAAUCGGAAUCUCAUGUAUUAAAAAUUCAAAAUCUGCCACGUCGCACAAGUAGGAGAAGAACUUCAGUGCAUCAAAACUGGGAUCUAUGCUUAGAAGAUGUAGUGAAUGAAAACAAGUCCAAAGGUGUAAGUGACUUGCCUUCAGAGUUGCCCAUUACCAUCAGCACUGAUGGUACUGUCACAACUCCUGUGUGCGAGAAAGCUGUGAAUUCCAGUAACCUAGAAUGCAAUGUAAAAGAACAUAGAGGCAUUUCCACAAAGAGAAGUCAAAAAGAACUAAGCAGCAUAACCAUUCGGUUUGGAAAACGCAGAUUAAAAAAGCAAGCAGUCACCAGUGAGUUGACCUUAUUAGAUAAUCCACCAUUAGUUGUACCAUUAGCUAGCCAGACAAUGGAAAGUGAUAGUUUAGUAUUAGGUGAUAAGCCUGUAGCAGUAGUAAGUGGGACAACCACAUUAUGUAACCAGGUAGAAGCAAGUGACUCGGCUGUAGCAGAUGAUCAAUCUGAACACGAUUAUUUUUCUGUAGAUAACCAGACAGUAGAAAACAACAUUACCUUAUUCAAUAGCCAGCCAGCAGCACAUGACCACAUUCCAUUAGAUAAGCAGACAGUAGCAGUUGAAGGGUCUCUGUUACAUAAUGAAACCUUAGUUGUUGACAGUUCUUCAUCAACAACAGUAGUAGAUUGUUUUCCAUUAGCUACUCAGACAAGAUCAGACGACACUGCCUUAUUAGGUAACCAUACUGCACUGCUUAAUAAGUCAUUAGAUAAACUAGCAUCAGCAAAGAACGCUGCCUUAUUAGAUAAUCCGGCAUUAGCAAAUAAUAGUUUACCCCCAGAAAAUCAGACAGUGGAAUGUGACAGAUCUCCAUUUUGCAGUUCGACUGUGACAGAGAGCACUGCCAUAUUGGAUAGUCAUACAGAAGAGUGCAGCAUCUCUUUAUUAGCUGAUUACUCAGUGGAAAAAAGCAGUGCUUCAUCAGAUAAUCAAGCAGUAGAUAGUGAAUGUCCUUUAGUGGAUAAGCUUACAGAUACAAGUAGCAGUACCAUAUUGAGUAGCCAGGAAGUUGUAAGCAGUGGUGCGUCCGUCGAUAACCAUUUGACACCAAGUAGUUGUUUCCCAUUGGAUAAUGAUGCUGAAGCUAUGGUUAGUGUCCCAGUAGAUAACCAGAUAAUUGUAAAUGAUGGUUUGGCACUAGAUAGUUUGUUAACAAAUGAUGUGUCUCUCUUUGAUAAUGAGGUUGCAUUGGACAUGGCUCUGUUAGAAUUUCAGAGAGAGGCUAAAAAAGUUGCUGGACCAGACAACCAAGUGGUUGCAGGCAGUGAGGCACAUUCACAUGCCCAAAUGGUCAUACAAAGUGCUGCUCCAUCAGACGUCCUGAUAGUAAAAAACACUACUCCCUUAGAAACCCAUACAGAAAAAAGUGCCACUGCAGAACUUGACAGACAGACAGUGUUGAACAAAGAAACUCAACUGGAUAACUGGGCAACAGGCAGCUUGCAUUCUUCCUUGGAUAACUUGUUAGCAGAAAGUACUAAUACUACUUCAAAUAACCACACAGUAGUUGGUGAUGUGGCUUCACUUGAUGCCCCUGAAACCACCUCAUUAAUUAAUCACACAGUAGAAGCUGAGAGCAUCCUGUUAGAUAAGAAUGUAAAAAGUGAAGGCACUCUGUUAGAUAAUCACACAGUAGUAACCGAAGAUGCCCUACUAAUUAACCAGGCAGUAGCAAAUGAAAACAUCUCAUUAGAUAACCAGACAGUAGCAGCUGAAGGCACCACAUUAGAUAACCAGAGAGUAGCAAAUGAAAGUGCCACAUUAGAUAACUAUAACAUCAUAACUGAAGACACCCAAUUAGAUUACCAUACAGUAGGAACUGAAAGCAUCCAGUUAGAUAACCAGACGGUAGAAGGUGAUGGUGCCCAGCUCUGUAAACAUGAUUUAGAAACUGAAAGUACCCAGUUUAGUAACCAAACAGCAGAAGAAAAUAGAGCCAUUUUAGAUAAUGUGACAGCUUUGUUUUGUAGAACACCUUUAAAUAGCCACACUGUGUCAAAUGCUGGUCAGUCAUUUUGCAGAGAGAGAAAAAUGGAUAACAGGCCAUUGGAAAACCAAUCUUCAACAAGUGACAGCUUUACAUUUGGUAAUCCAGAAAUAGCAAGUUAUGCUUCUUUGUUUGGUUUUCAGACAUUGGCAGGUAGCAGUAUCACACUGGGUAACCAAACAACAGCAGGUAAUGAGCAGACAGAAUCAAGUAACAGUAACCAACUGAAUACCCAGGCAGUAUUAACUGCUGAUGCCCCUUCCAUUACCAAAAGAGUAGGAAGGAGACCUGGUCCAAUAAGGAGAAGAAAGAGAGGAGCCCGGAAAAUUGGUCCAAUAAGGAAACAGACAACAGCAAGGCGAACAACUACAGUAAGAAAACCAAGAGUAGGAAGGAAAAGGAAACAGGCAGUAGAAGGUCUGUUUGCCCAAUUUGAUAAUCUGAUAUUUCCAGAUCAGACUGCCCCCCCAGGUCACCAGAUGUUUGGGGGCAGUAGCUCCACAUUUGAUAACCAGUUAAAUGUUAGUGGUAUUGGCCAGUUAGAUAACACACCAUUUUUUAGUAACAGUGCAUCUUUAAUAAACCAGUCAGUAGUCAAUACCUACAGUUCACUUGGCUACCAGCCAACACUUAGCGGUACCCAGGUAGGGAACCAGACAGUUUUAAGUGGAAAUGCUUUGCUAUCUAAUCAGACCUUAAUGAACACAAGUUUAAUGCACUUAUCAGAUGCCCAUAGAAAAUACGCACUUAGAACAACAAACAGACCAAAAAUUGUGUAUAGACGAAGGAGGUAUACAAAGACAAAAAAGACAGAAGACAGUUGUUGCAACUAUGAGAAAAAAUUGUCAACUUCAGGAUUAAAUGAAGAACCAAAAGAUACUUCAGGGAUAAACCCUGAAGUGGAACAGCCUGGAGACCAAGGAAAACGUAAACGCAGAGGAAUUCGGAAGAUGGUUGUAAAAGUGCACAAGAUUCCUGUAUUUGUUGGAAAGCGGAACAAAAUGACCUACAAGAUGUCUUCUCUCAGCAGCUUAGGUGACAAGAUGAUUAGUCAUUUUGGUGGUAAGGAAGCUACAUCAAGUCUUAUGGAUUCCACAGCCCUCCUUAAGAUGAAAAAUCAUGGCAGAAAUGUAAUGGUAAUGUUUCCUCCAGGAGAUCUUCCUGUAAUACUUAAAAGAAAAAGGGGGAGGCCUCCCAAAAAUCCUCUCCUUGGUUUUGAGAAAGCUAAAGAAGUCAAACAAGAAGUAAAGAAAAGACGAAGAAAAGUAAAACUUCCACCGCCUCAACCGUCAUACACUGUGGAUACCAGUGAUAAUAAAUCUGAUUAUGCAGAUGUUUUAUCCAAGCUAGCCUUCUUAAAUAAACAGAAUCAGACCUUUGGGAGAUGUUCUCCACCUAGGUGUUGGACACCUAGUGAUCCUGUCUCUGUUAGUCAGACUCCAGAUACAAACAAUGUGUCUCAUUUUCUGCAAAAGGUGCAAAGCUUUCGCAGACGUGGUGGUAAGGCAGGUUUUUGUGGAGGGAGAGGUGGCAGUCAUGCUACUGAAACUUUGAGAUGUUCUUUCAGUGAUUUCUUUGAAGGGAUUGGAAAGAAAAGAAAGGUCAGUGCAGGCACUGAUCACCCUCGUAAACGAGGCAGGGUACAGAAAGAACCAAGUACUAAACCUGUUCGCCGAAGACGGCCUCGAAAAAAUGGAGCAUUACUUAAGGAACCAACUUUCCAAAACUCUGAAGGAGCUUUGGAUUGGGUGAGGGACAGUCGAAAUAAUUGGCCACCCAAACAGGAAAGUUCCUCAAACCACCAGCUAGGGAAUUGUAGUUAUGAACAGAUUGAUUCAAGAUCUUUUCCUAGUUCUUCCAGAGAUUCUAGUUCUGGAGAUCGACAAGGCUGUUACUCAUCAAAUAGUCUGUCUAAUCAGUCACAGAUGAAUCAGGACCCACAUGGAGCAUUUGCUGGCUAUUUUCGAUCCUUGCUUGAUUCAGAUGAUUCUUCGGACUUGAUAGACUUUAACACAUCUGGAGCUAGACAAGAAGUAUGCAAAGCACAAGCUGGUUACACAGCACAGAAUUCAAUGCAGACUCAAAGUCGUGCGCCAUCUUACCAGAAUCAGUGUCCUAAACCAUCCUCUAAUAACAGUGAUAACUCUUUUCAGUCCACUCUUCAGAUGAGGCAGCCAUAUCCACAAAGUGGUAACCUAAGCUUCAGCAUGUCUCAGAGUCCCUCAGAAUGUCGCAAUCCAGAGACUUUCCGAAAACUGGUUUCAUCACCUUCCAUUUCUAGAUCUCCCACUACUCACCCCCCAUCUGGUAACUACAAUCAGUACCCAAAUUUUAAUGCAACUCAAAACACAGCCACUUCUAAUGUCUUUCAACAGUCUAAACCUUAUGCCUCACAAGAUUGCCAAGGCAGCAAAGACUGUAGCUUUUCAUUCAGCAAUACCAGCAAUGUCUGCUCUUCUCCAAGUAGUGCUCAGAAUGUUGCUUUUGGUUCUCAUACUUCAGUUUCUCAUCUGCCUUUAAACAAGACACCAUAUCUUAGUAAUUCAGAGUCUGGGCAAUUUUCUUCGGUUUCACACACCCACAUAAGGUGUGAUUCCCAGUCAAAUCCAGUGUCUUCUGGAAGCUUUAUGCCUCAAAAAACUGGAAACUUAUUCCACACUUCAACUGACAGCUGCCGACCAUUUGCUAAUGCAUCACAGUGGCCACCCAGGCCAAAUUAUAACAAUGCUGAUUGGAUCUCUGAAGGUUCAGCCCAACACUUUAAUCCAAUGUUUGACUAUGGCAUGAAUGAGUCAAAUGUCAUACUGGAUAUUUCAAAUUACACCCCACAAAAAGUGAAGCAAAGAUCUGUUUCAGAAACAUUUUCUGAAUCUUCUUCGGACAGCACACAGUUAAAUCUGCCUAGAGGAUAUAGAAGAACCAACAGUGAGGCUUCAUCAAGUGAAGGAGGACAGUCCAGUCUUUCCAGUCUGGAAAAACUGAUGAUGGAUUGGAAUGAGACUUCCUCAGGUCCAUCAUACAGCUGGAACCAGAGCAUUCUUUUCCAGAAUAAUCCAAAACCAGGAAGGGGGCGGCGAAAAAAAGUGGACCUGUUUGAUUCAUCUCAGUUAAAUUUUACUUCUGCUUCCCCAUUCCCUUCCAAAAGAAAUUCAGUGCCAAGACAGCCCAGAAAUCCUAGGGGAGGAGGUACAACGAACAGAAAGGAAAGAGGAACUGGAAGGUCAAAGUUUUCCCAGAAGUCACGGCCAGCAAAUGCUCUUUUUCAAGAAAGUACAGAUUUUGGCAUGGAUUAUUACAGUGGAGACAGUAGUAUGUCUCCUUUGCCAUCACAGUCACGGAAUUUUCACAUGAAUGAGAGAGAAUCGUGCGAGUUUUCCGGGCCUUAUUCUGUUAAUCCAUCUACUCCUUCUGAUGAAACAUUUGCUCAGUGUUUUCCAAGUGAAGCAUCAUCUGUUUCUCCUAGCAUGAAUCAGGCAGAUUUAGAUGUCAAGAACUUCCAUCCCCAUCCCCACCCACCUCCUCAUCCAAUGGUCAUGCCAAAACUUCACCAUUCCUUUGAGCAGGGUCACCAGAAAACUUUUUCAAACUGUUCACCUGUUAUGGCCUUCAAGGAUGACUUUUUGUCUCUUGAAGGCAGGAAGUUACCAGCUUGUGAGACCUUAAAGACAAAUGCACAUGUAGCAAGUGUUGUACAACCAACAUCACAUUUGGCUUGUAGAGAUCUGCCAGCACCACAUAUACGUUAUGAUUCCCCAACCCUUAAAAACACAAACUAUUGGUAUUCUCAAAGUCCCAUGGCUGGCAGUCCACAGUACAGUAACAAACUUGGAACGGGGGUCUUGAUGGACAUUAUGGAAAGGAAUGAGCUUUCUUGUCUUAGUCCACAUGUAUCUAGUCCACAAGUAGCUAGUCCACUUACUUUAUCAAAACCUGACAAAGAACCUCAUGAACUUGGAAGAGUCCAUAGAUCAAACUACAUUUGUCCUUUAACAAAUGAACUUAACCUUUCUCCUGUGCCAAGUGACCCUGUGUUACCAAUGCAAGAAAAUUAUCGGUACUCAAAUUUUCAGUUCCAUGGACAAUUGAAUGCCCCUCCAAAGAGUGGAUAUAUGGGUCAAGUCUUCGAGCAGCAUCCUGAGGACACCUUCACAGUGACCUCCCUGUAGUUUGUACUGCAGUGUUACAGAGACCCCAAGGUAUUUGUUUCAGGGGUUAAAUCAAUGCAACACUUUUCUGGAACCGUUUUGAACUGUUUAUCUACGUUUAAGUAAUCCAGUUUUUUGAACAAUUUUAAAAACAAAAAAGGAAAACAAAUUUAUAUAUAUAUAUUUUUGGGAGGGGGGAAUGCUUGAUGCCGAGCCACCUGCUGCAAACCAUAGCAGAGACAAUCGAAUUACUGAAGUACCACUGGCAGUCAGAGACCCUGAGCCCAUUGUGUGAGGAGGACCCUGGGACUUCUGUUUCCGACUUUGACUUAUCAUCAUCUGUCUUUGGUGGCAUAAAUGAAAAGUAAAGAUUAUUCUUUUUAUAAAGACUUUUAUAUCAUUGUGAUGCCAUCCUGUUGAGAAAAUAUUUUUGUGUUCCAGCUCCCCUCUCCCAGCUCUGGGUUCCUGAGAACCACUGGAAUGGCCGUGUAAGGAAAAGCUCCCCACCAUACCACACGAAGCUCCCCUGAGACAUUAUAAAAGACUUGACAGUAUUGUAUAAGCCUGCAUGUACAUGUAUGUGUAUACACACAUGUGCAUGAAUAAAAAAAGAAAAAAAAAAACUUGAGACACUCGCAACUCUUUUAUAUACUGAACCAACUAAAGGACUUCAAUUGAAAUGAUACCAGCAAAUUGUAAAUAGUUUUUAAGGAAAAAUAUUAUUCAGUAUGCACUGAAAACUUUAUUUACUGAACAACAAAGGUUAUAACAUAUUUAUUGUAUAUACUAUUUUAUUUUAAAAUGUGUUAUUGUAAAUUGCAUUCUGUACACAAGCUGUAAUUCUGUGAAGUGGAUUCAAGCAUGGGCUUUUAUUUUUCAUUUAUUUCUUCUGUUGCUUUAGUUGCUGGUUUUGUUUAUUUGUCUAUUAAUUUUUUUCAGUGUGCACCCAAAGAUAAAACCUUUGAAAAAAAGGUUUCUUAGGAGAGUUAUAUGUGCGUGUAUGCAUAGAUGGUGGGGAUGGGAAUCACAACUUUGAGUGAGUGCGUUGUUUGUUGGGAGAGGGGAGAACAGACAACUGUGGGAGGGAUAAGGGGAAUGGUGGCUUCAUACAUUUUUUUCCUGUUCUAAAACACAGUAUUUUCCUUUUCUGUACAGCAACACCAUGAGCUCAGGGUGUGAAAUGUUGGUUGACUUCGUAGCUUUUUUGAUUAAUGUAUUGUUAAGUGGUUUGUGUGAAAUAUUGUAUUGUCUGUUACUGAUCAUAACCCGCAGUGCUUGUAAGGAAAUACACUUGGAACUUAGUCCAACAAACUA
Protopterus annectens (West African lungfish) is the source of this 9273-nucleotide RNA transcript. It is a transcript of the gene named AT-hook DNA binding motif containing 1, with no coding region annotated. The record is from RefSeq and is a predicted model, not a curated record. Lineage: Eukaryota; Metazoa; Chordata; Ceratodontiformes; Protopteridae. The transcript has 6 exons.